AAGGUCCUUCGGGACCGAGUAUAGUGGCGCACGGGUGAGUAACGCGUAGGCAACCUACCCUCGGGACCGGGAUAACAGAGCGAAAGUUCUGCUAAUACCGGAUACGACCGGAAGACGGGAGUUUUUUGGUGAAAGUCGGCCUCUCCAUGGAAGCCGAUGUUCGAGGAUGGGCCUGCGUCCUAUCAGCUAGUUGGUAGGGUAACGGCCUACCAAGGCGACGACGGGUAGCUGGUCUGAGAGGAUGAUCAGCCACACUGGCACUGAAACACGGGCCAGACUCCUACGGGAGGCAGCAGUGAGGAAUUUUGCGCAAUGGGAGCAAUCCUGACGCAGCAACGCCGCGUGGGUGAUGAAGGCCUUCGGGUCGCAAAGCCCUGUCAGGUGGGAAGAAAUGGCUUGGGGCAAAUAGCUUCGGGUUUUGACGGUACCACCAGAGGAAGCACCGGCUAACUCCGUGCCAGCAGCCGCGGUAAUACGGAGGGUGCGAGCGUUAUUCGGAAUUACUGGGCGUAAAGCGCGUGCAGGCGGGAAGGUAAGUCUGAUGUGAAAGCCCCGGGCUUAACCCGGGAAGUGCAUUGGAAACUGCUUUUCUUGAGUACUGGAGAGGAAGGGAGAAUUCCCGGUGUAGAGGUGAAAUUCGUAGAGAUCGGGAGGAACACCAGUGGCGAAGGCGCCCUUCUGGACAGUUACUGACGCUGAGACGCGAAAGCGUGGGGAGCAAACAGGAUUAGAUACCCUGGUAGUCCACGCUGUAAACGAUGAUCACUAGGUGUAGCGGGUACUCAUUCCUGCUGUGCCGUAGCUAACGCGUU
This 812-nucleotide ribosomal RNA is filed under the name uncultured bacterium. RNAcentral's name for it is "bacterial SSU rRNA". It matches the Rfam family "Bacterial small subunit ribosomal RNA", at positions 72 to 861 of the family's 1533-position model. The record is from RNAcentral.